Molecule: ribosomal RNA, 253 nt
Filed under: uncultured bacterium
Lineage: Bacteria
Description: partial 16S ribosomal RNA
Rfam family: Bacterial small subunit ribosomal RNA
Source: RNAcentral
UACGAAGGGGGCUAGCGUUGUUCGGAAUUACUGGGCGUAAAGCGUGCGCAGGCGGCCUUCCAAGUCAGGGGUGAAAGCCCAGAGCUCAACUCUGGAAUUGCCUUUGAGACUGUGAGGCUUGAGUACGGGAGAGGUGAGUGGAAUUCCCAGUGUAGAGGUGAAAUUCGUAGAUAUUGGGAAGAACACCGGUGGCGAAGGCGGCUCACUGGCCCGAAACUGACGCUCAUGCGCGAAAGCGUGGGGAUCAAACAGG